ACAGUGGUGGCCACCGCGACUGGUGCUGAAGUGUUGGCGCGUGCCGGGCGCUCCGCUGGGACCCGGGUUGCUGGCCCUGAGUCUCAGCUUUCUCAUCUGUACGGUUGGGACAAGUACAGUAACCCUCGCCCGUCAAGACGGGCCAGGGCUGUGGCGAGGGUCCACGCCUUAGAGCAGGCAGGAGUAGGGCUGAUUGGAGCCAUUGUACAGUGUCGGGAACAUACCAGGACACUGAGAAUAGUGUCAUGUCAUAAGGACCCAGAGCAGAUGGACCCUGCUGUGAUGCACAAAGGGAUGAAAUGGGAUUUUGUUGGCACCAAGACCUGAUUGCUUUGCCAGUUACCCUCACCCCUGGCUCACAAGGAAAGUGUAUGGAGGAGAUUCUCGAGGAACCACAUGAGUUUUAAUAUCAUAAGCUUCUGCCCUGAAUUGAAAGAUAGCAGCAUUUUAAUCAUCUCUUCCAUUAAACCAAGAUUACACAAAAGCGUUUGAGGACACUGAGGACUGGGACUUCUAAUUUUGCUUCAGAAACCAGUACUCAAAAUGUCUGGUUUGGAGGAGCUGGGCUGCUUGGAUCAGAGGUUCCAUGGUCUGAACUACUCCACUCUGGUGAAGGUUUCUUCCCCAAAGCCACUCCUCAAGCUGACUUAUAUUGUACCUGAGUUGCAUGCCUGUGCUCCAAGAGCAGACGUCCUUCCGCAGGAGCAGGUCAUUAAGAGUCACUGCGUUGAUCAUGUAGAAGAGCUGUUUGAAUACCUGCAGGAUGAUCUCAGGGUCCAAGCCCUGGUCACACAUGACUGUAUGAAAGGCAUUCAUCUGGCGGAUGAUAGCUUCCAGGCGGUAUGAGUUAUCCCCAUCUGCCAUGCUGGAGGAGUGCUUCUGGGAGCCAGUGGGCUUCACACCAGAUAGACCCUGAAUGCUGUCAUUUUCCAACAUGGCAGAAACUAUCAUCGGCUGUAACACACCCUCGGCAAUUUUAAAGAGCUGCUGGUAGAUCUGAAUGGAAAGGUCGCUCAGUACCUGACGGUAUUCGGUGAGGUCAAAGUUCUUAAGGCAGUGUUCGUUGUGCUUUGCUGUAUUCUGAGUCAUGAAGCCCUCAUCCCCGCUGUACCGCUUCAGACAGUGAAGAAGGUGGCAGGUGUUGGAUAACAGGAAUGACGUCAUCUCAAAGUCAUCACUGUGCUUCUUCAGGACUUUCUUAAUGCCGUUGGUGGUGGAGGUCAUCAGGGAGUGCACCUUGAGAUCAUCGUUGGUUUGGUCCGCGAGCCGAAUGCACAUGUAGAGGAUGUAGGCGGAGAGACAGGGCACUGUGUCCAACAGCAUCUGGGGCUUCAAGUCUGUCACCAGGUUGAGGAUGAGGAGGGCCUCGCCCUCUUUGCGGCACUCCAACAUGCCCUGGAAAUCCUUUUCUUUCCACUGAACUGGGACCUGCCUGUUGAACUCAUGGCGCUUCCUCUCACUCUGGGCCAACGCCUGGGCAGCUUCUUCAUGUAAAUCUUCAGUUGCUUUUAGAGCUUCCUCUCAUUCUUUUCCUCUUACUUUAUUUUUCACCACAGAGCUUCCUAUCAACUAGUAUGUUGAAUAUUUUGCUUAUUAACUUUGUUUAUUGUCUUCUCCCUCGAUUAGAAUAUUAGCUACUUGAGUACAAGGAUUUGAGCCUGUUACAUUCACUGCUGAAUUUUAGGCUCCUGGAAGAUACCCAGCAUUCAAUAGAGACCACACAAUAAAUAUAUGUCAAAUAAA
RNAcentral lists this long non-coding RNA (1743 nucleotides) under Homo sapiens (human). RNAcentral describes it as "lncRNA negative regulator of fibroblast-like synoviocyte migration, SYNCRIP interacting". Lineage: Eukaryota; Metazoa; Chordata; Mammalia; Primates; Hominidae. The record is from RNAcentral.